RNAcentral lists this ribosomal RNA (1205 nucleotides) under Archytas nivalis. RNAcentral describes it as "partial 16S ribosomal RNA". Lineage: Eukaryota; Metazoa; Arthropoda; Insecta; Diptera; Tachinidae. The record is from RNAcentral.
UCAAUAUAAAUUGAUUAGAUUUUAUUUAUUAAUUUUUUUUUUAUUAAAAAUUAAUUAUUAAAAAUAAUUAUUUAAUUAUUUGUUUUAGUAUAUAAUAGAGAAAAAAUAAUAUUAAUAAUAGUUUAAUAGUAUUGUAAAAUAAAAUUGAAAUAUUUUGAAAAAUUUUUAUUAUAAAAGUAAAUUUAAUUUAUUGUACCUUGUGUAUCAGGGUUUAUUAAUUAAAAAUUAUUUAGAAUAAUUUUCUCGAUUUUAAAAGAGUUAAUAUAUUAUAAAAUUUAAUGUAAUAAAAUUAUUUUAAAUAAUAUAUUAGUAAUGAAAUGUUAUUCGUUUUUAAAGGUAUCUAGUUCUUCAAGAAAUAAAUUUAAUUUAUAAAUUUUAUAUUAUUUAAUUAAAUAAAUUAAUUAAAUAAAUAUUUUAUUUUUAUAUUUUAUGGGAUAAGCUAUAAAAUAAAUUUUUAAAAAUUCAUAAUUUAAUUAAUAAAUAUAAGCUUAGAAAUAGUUAUUAUUAAUAAAAAUGUUAUAAUUUAUUUUAUAAUAAUUAAUUAUUUAAUUGAAUUUUAAAUUUUUAUUGAAGUUUUUAUUUUAAUAAUAAUAAUAAAAUAAUAAUGAUAUAAUUAGUAUAAUUUAUUUUAUUAAUAAAUUUUUAUGAUAAGUUAUUAUAAAGAACUCGGCAAAAAUAAUAUUCGCCUGUUUAACAAAAACAUGUCUUUUUUUUAUUUAUAAAAAGUCUAACCUGCCCACUGAAAAUUUUAAAUGGCCGCAGUAUUUUAACUGUGCAAAGGUAGCAUAAUCAUUAGUCUUUUAAUUGAAGGCUUGUAUGAAUGGUUGGACGAGAUAUUAACUGUUUCAUAAUAAUUUUUUUUAGAAUUUUAUUUUUUAGUCAAAAAGCUAAAAUUUUUUUAAAAGACGAGAAGACCCUAUAAAUCUUUAUAUUAUAAUUAUUAUUAUUAUUUAGAUUAUUUUUAUAAUAAUAAGUAAUAAUAUUUUAUUGGGGUGAUAUUAAAAUUUGUAAAACUUUUAAUUUAAUUUUUCAUUAAUUUAUGAUUAUAUGAUCCACUUUUAGUGAUUAUAAAUAUAAGUUACUUUAGGGAUAACAGCGUAAUUUUUUUGGAGAGUUCUUAUUGAUAAAAAAGAUUGCGACCUCGAUGUUGGAUUAAGAGAUAAUUUUAGGUGCAGUAGCUUAAAUUUUAAGUCUGUUCGACUUUU